This 253-nucleotide ribosomal RNA is filed under the name uncultured bacterium. Its description in RNAcentral is "partial 16S ribosomal RNA". It matches the Rfam family "Bacterial small subunit ribosomal RNA", at positions 524 to 776 of the family's 1533-position model. The record is from RNAcentral.
UACGUAGGGGGCUAGCGUUGUCCGGAUUUAUUGGGCGUAAAGAGCGUGUAGGCGGCCAGGUAGGUCCGUUGUGAAAACUCGAGGCUCAACCUCGAGACGUCGGCGGAAACCCUCUGGCUAGAGUCCGGAAGAGGAGAGUGGAAUUCCUGGUGUAGCGGUGAAAUGCGCAGAUAUCAGGAAGAACACCCGUGGCGAAGGCGGCUCUCUGGGACGGUACUGACGCUGAGACGCGAAAGCGUGGGGAGAAAACAGG